Long non-coding RNA from Mytilus californianus (California mussel), 652 nucleotides. RefSeq lists it as uncharacterized. The record is from RefSeq and is a predicted model, not a curated record. NCBI's taxonomy places the organism in Eukaryota, Metazoa, Mollusca, Bivalvia, Mytilida, Mytilidae. The transcript has 3 exons.
GUUUAUGUCAUCACAAGGAUGUCAAAAGAAUCUUUUAUAUAAGAUUUAGCGAAUUCAUGUGGCUAUUAGUUAUAUCGAGCAGUCUUCGUCAAAGUCAUUGAAAGCUUUAUAGUAUUGAGGUUCUUCAGACAUGUCAUCUAAGAGACAACGACCAGCUAAUGAAAAUCUCAAACAAGUGAAACAAGCCCGGAGAGAGAAUGACAGGCAAACAUGGGAAAGACAGUUUCCGGUCAACGGACAAGGGACCUUAGUUUUCAACAAAGACACCAAGGUGCCUUUCUUAAUCUCAGUGGAAAACGAAAAGGGACAGUAUGGGCUUUCUGUUCAGAUUGAAAGAGAUCAUGUCGUGUUCAUUAAGAGAAAAGGAGAAGAAAUAAAGGAACUUUCUGAGAUCCACGAAAAAGAAUGUGGCAUAGAAAAAGGCAAGAUUUCAUAUUGGUACAGUUAUGACCGAGACAACCUCGUUCUCAAGUAUGGAAAGGGGUAUCGAAUGAAGGAAACUACCAUUUUAACUCACGACUUUCUUAAAAAUGCAUCUUCAGAGAAGGAAAAGGAAGAAAUACGGAAAAAUUUGUAUCCGUACUUCAAUGCAGAAGAAAAGAAGUACAUCAGAAAAUAUGAAGCAAUAUCUACCGUUUCAAAAGGUAAGUAA